This 678-nucleotide long non-coding RNA is filed under the name Macaca mulatta (Rhesus monkey). Its description in RNAcentral is "lncRNA (ENSMMUG00000058375.1)". Lineage: Eukaryota; Metazoa; Chordata; Mammalia; Primates; Cercopithecidae. The record is from RNAcentral.
AAGUUCACUAAGUCCAGCAGCCCAGGGCAACCUCUGGUGGAAGACAGAAGGCAGGUCCAGGAAGGUGGGAGGAGCCAGAGAAGGGGAGCCAAUCAGUGGCCAGAAAGGGGGGGGGCGGAACCAGAGAAAGGGAGCCAAUCAGUGGCCAGGAAGGUGGGAGGAGGCGCCACUCAGUGGCCUGAAAGGAGGAAGAGGAGCCAGAGAGGGAGAACCAAUCAGGAAAAGAGGAUGCAGCAGGCUGGGAUUCUUCUUGCAAGGGAAACUGAAGCUUUAGUCUGGGCAGGCAGCGAGCUGGACUGGUAUCGGAGGAAAAGAAGUCUCUACUUUGGCCGCUGCUGUUUGAGUGUGUCUCCCAGCACCAUAAGGCACAGCCAGAUGGGCUGCCGUUGGUUGCAAGCCUGGAAGAGUCAGAAAGAAACCUGAGGCUGUCAAGGAAGCUUGAAGGUGGGUCUUCAACUCUGGGCCCAGAAGGAGCAUCACCUCCACCUGGCCUUGUCUGGUUCAUCUACAGCCUGCAGGAAGAGAGGGGGAGGGGGGGAGAGGGGGAAAGGGAGAGAGGAAGAGAGGGGAGAGGAAGACAGGGGAGAGGAAGAGAGAGAGAGGGAGAGGGACAGAGGGAGAGAGGGAGAGGAAGAGAGGAGGGAGGGAGGGAGAGAGAGAGAGAGAGAGAGAGAGAGA